GAACACAGAAUAAGUCAAGAUGGUUUGCAUCUCCUUAAAAAGAACAAGUACAACAUUAAAGUCCUAUUAGCGCAAGCAAGGUCAUAGAUGUUGUUUUGUUAUGAACUGUUUAUUAUGGUUCUCAGUCAUGUACAAAUGAACAAAAUAUAAAACAUUAAUAAGGUUAUUCUCAUGUAUAGUCUCCCACACCCUUGUGUGACUAUACCACCUCUGGCUCUGGAAACUGGAAGAGCAAAUUAAACAUAGGAAAAAAGGCAAAACUUUUUUAAAGGAACACAAUGAUCUUUCAGCUACUUCUGUCCUCAGCUGGUAUGCAACCCUAAGUAUUUGCCUCUCAUCACAUCUGUAAAAUUGUCUUCCUUCUCAUGUUUUACCAAUAUCCCUAACCUGUGGGCUCCUUGGUCUAAAAAGGCUUGUAAGCCAUGAUCCCAUGGAGAUUUCUUUGAUUUCAAGAUUCUUAACCUCAUUGUGACUUUGUUGCUUUCCAGCAUUUAGGCACCCAUCCUGCGUAUCUUGGGGAUUAUUUAAAAAUAUUAUGCCAAAUGCAACAAAACUGUGGGUGUCCUUCUCUUUUCACAGGAUGCCUUUUUUCUGCACUUGAGCACUGCAAUUAUUUUGUUUCAAGUUAUAAUACAAUGCACAACAUUUGCUUGCAGUUUGUAGAUGUGCUCCUAAUGGUCACUGGGUGUCACUAUUGGUCUUUGCUAAGUAAUUUUGUACAAGUUUCAGAAGAUCUUAAUAUGGUAGAAGAACAAAGAUUAUUGAUGGUUUCCUGACUACGGUGAGUAUCGUUACUAUAUUCCGAAAUGUGUAUUUGUAAAUAACUGUGGAGAAAUACAGAAUAGUAUAUUAGAUUAUAUUUAAUGUAACAGUGAAGCAAUUGAGAAAAAUAUUGUACAUGACUUCAUGCACAUAGGUAACAGGCUAGUAAUAUUUCCUGUAAUGUUGUCUUCUUCGGAUUAAAUUGUCAAUAAGAGUGGCUGAAACCCAUAACGAAACCUGAAAACUUAUUAUUCUUCAUGCAUCACAAACCCUACAAAACAAGUGGAACCAAUCAGUACAAAAUUAAAGCAAUGAUAAAAAUUAUGAUAUGGGAAAUCAUUCUUAAUUGAAACUUGGUGAGGUAUUUUCAGCCUGCUCCUGCUGGCCUGUCACAGUGCCAGCAAUAACUCUGGCUUUUAAAAUGUGGAACAUGUUCAGAUUUCUUUACUGGGCAUCACUGUGGGUGUCAGGAGUCAGUCUAACAGAGACCAUGAUGGCAUCUGAGGAAGAGGCUUUGGAUCCCACAGAAGGUUCCAACACAUCUGAGGAGCCUUUUAAGUAACCCGGACACUGGGAAAUCUACUUACUAGAAUUCAGAUGACUAUAGGAUGGUCUUAUCCUAGUAAUCAUUUCACGUGGAACUGACACAAGAAUCCACAAAUACUUGAAAUUCAUCCAUUUCCCCACUUUGCUAUUCACAAUUUUGAAUUAGAAAUUUCAGUCCCAAAUACGGAUUUUGAAUGUGAUGCUUUCAGCUCAGGAUUAGACAUUCUAUUGCUUUGGACUCGUUGGCAUUUCUUGACUAUUUUGAUUUUGACAAACCUCAGUGUGGAACAUUUUCCUGAAAUGGAGAAGUUUGAAAAUCACUGUGGUACACCAUUGCAUGUCUGCUGUCAAGAUUGACGAAUACAAAAUGUUACGCUGUUAUAGAUCAACUCCCAGGUAUGGAGAAAAUAUCAGCUGCCAUAUAUCAUACAUUGAAAUUAAAAAACCAUUGGAUGCCUAAAAUAGUGACAUUUAAUAUUCAGAGAAGAUUUGAGCACCCAGUGGACUUGUGGAUAGUAUUUUUAUUUUAAAUAAUGGCAAAAGAGAUUUUUGAGAAGCAUCUUUAGGAGCAAGUUCAUUUCAAUUCUGACCUGUUAACAGCAAUCUGAGGUAUUUUUGUUGUAUAAAUGAAUUAAACACCACACCUUUUUUCCUAACAGGUUGCAGCAGUUAACAACAAAUCACAGCACUAAUUUUUGACAAAAUAAACAUGUUUACAUCCUUUUUGAAAUCCAGAGAUGUUGACUUCUCAACCUCCUCUGACAGGACAUUUUGGAACUUAAGGAAGAAUACCGUACAUUUUUUUCUGCCUGAAGCAAAGGAAAAGAUUAUUCUCUCUCUCUCUCUCUCUCCUUGUACAGAAUCUGACCAAACUGGCUGUAGAAUCUUUUUUUGAUAACUCAGGUAGAAUGGUGGCUGGACUGCUGCUGUUUUGUAUCAGCUGCCGCCUGAGGCAGACGCCCCACUCUGCCUAAUGUUAGGGCUAUUCCUACUAAGGAAGCUGUGCAGUGAAGCCCUGGUAAUAGCAGCCACAAUCUAAACUGACACAUGGAAGAAACAACAAACAGUACCUGUUGAUCUGACCUCAGUAGAUUGUCAAUGGCGGCUACAUGGCCACUUUAAUCCAUAGAAACAGUUGCCCUCAGUGCUCUGACAAUAGUUUUUCCAGUUUUGUUACCCAUCACUGCACUUUUUAACAAUUCUAAUAGAUCCUUUCUGGAAAGGGAUGCUUGGAACUAUUAACUCAAUAUUAAUAUUUCAUAUACAAAAAUGAAAUAAAGCUGAAACAUUUUGUUUUCCUUGCCAUGUUAAACAGGUUUCUAAGCCAUGCUUUUAAUAUUUUUUAAAAAUAUAUUUUUUUACUGGAAUUUUCAGUACAGAAAGAAAUGACAUAUACAGCAACAUGCCAUCAAAAUUAAAUAAAUACAUCAAGACAAGAUAAAGCAUAUAUAUAUAAGGUAUAAAAAUAAAGGAAAAUGGAGCUUACAUAUACUUGUAAAAAUGAAACCAAGAAAAUCAUUUCAUUUAAGAAAAUGGAAGAAGGAGGUUUUUUCCAGUAAAAAUGUUUCAGUAUGCUAUGGUGAAUAAACAAAAAAUAGCUGUAUUAAGGGCAUGUUAUGUAAUCAGACAAGAAAAGGACAAUAUGGUAGAAGCAUGAGCUAAGGGAGGGCUCCCAUCAUAUAUACCUGGAGGUCACAACCAUUCUGCGCAGAAUGUAUCUUUGUUGGAUUUUAACUUUGUCAAUUUUUCCAUCCAUGCCAAACUUGGGCAUAGCUCAGUCAAGUUUCCAUUAGUCUGCUUCCAAUUAUGAGCCACCGCAAUGCAUGUUGCUGCAAAGAAAGAGCUUAACAUGUCUUUCUUAAAAAAAAACCAACAACAAUCUUACCCUCGUCAACAAAUUUAGAGAGCAAUGCCAUGAGUUGGUCAGGCAUUAAAUUCUGUCCAAGGAUCGGCUGGAUUUCACGAAAUAUAUUUCCCCAAAUAUUCUUUGAUCACUGGACAUGUCCACCACAUAUGGAAAAAUAAACAUGCCUAACUCUCCAUACCCUCUCCAGCAACUGUUACUUUGAGCAGUUCCACUUAGGGUGUGGAGUUGGGUACCAUCUUUGGGCUACUUUGAAGGAAUGACACUAGAGUUUGUCCAAGGAAGAGAGAAAUGGAUUCCACUCUCAGAUCUGAACCUAUUUUUCAGAGUCAAGGCUUUAGAUCUUUUUUUAGCAAACCAGUGUUAACCUUUCCCCCCACUUUCUCUCUUUAAUGGAACACAGUUUGUCUCUCUCCCCAUGUCCUCAUUUUGCAAUUUGCUCUUUGCUCUGCAGUGAAAAAGGUCAAGAGUAAAGGCAUUAGAGACAGCAAAUGAAUGCAGAUCCCAGCUGAAAGGAACGAGAAUCCAUAAUAGUUUCCAGCAUUUAUAGUAUGAACAUUUUGAUGCAGUAAUUAUUAUUUUUUGUAAAAUGCUAUGUAAAAAUUAAUUGUUAAUCCUGUUAAGAGUGGAUGAGUGCUUUUCAAAAUAAACAACAGGUUUGUUUUUAAACCCCACACAGACUCCCAGGUUUCUAGAGAAUCUUAGCCUUCUCCAUUGGCAUUCUGCAGAUGAGGAGCUUUUCCCUGCCUGUGACCAUAUCAUGGAGGGUCAGGAAUGCAAGAAGUUAAAGUGUAGAAAUUAUAUAUAAUUUGUAGCGCUCUGUGUUACCUUUGUUUCUUCCAACCCUGCUUCCAUCUUAAGGAUCAACAAUACCUUUUGCUAUGAUUGGUUAACCUUUCUUUCACCCAAACCCUAAUCUGUCUUCCAUUUUAAGGGGGGAAAGUGUGUCCUGCUACGAUUGGUUAAUCUUUAUUUCACCCCACCUUGUGACCUGAAGCAGUCACACCAUUGCAUAAAUUUUACAAGUGGGCUAUAAAUGUGCAAUUAACUAUUAUGUUAAGGCUCUUCAGCUGGGUUCAAUUGGGCUUUUAUUCUGCAUCUUCUGGAGGGUAGAGAAUUUUCAUUUCAAAACACAAAUCAAUUGUCUGGUAUUAUUGAUCUUCCAGUACUGUGUAAGAUCUGAGUUAUCUUUGUACUUCUUUACCAACUCAGGCAAAUAUUAGAAGCUUUUCUAUAGUUGAAAAAUCAUCCUGAUAUGAGCAAGUUUGGAUUGUGACAUUGUAAAUAAAUCUUACAUAUUGUAAGAGAUUUAAAAGACAAUGUACAGCAGAUAGGCUUGUUCAUAAAUCACUGGAAUCUGAAAUAUGAAUGUAAUUUUAAACUGUGUGUAUUAUUUUCAUUGAUAUAAGUCUGACUCAUUGCUACAGUUGAAAUUUUCAACUAUUGCAUAUUUUCUAUGCUAUACAUAUUUGGGUUUAAAUAUAGGAUGAUUUAAUAGUAAGGUUUAUGUAUGUAUUUUCAUAACUGUAAUUAUGUAAUUAAAGUAACAUUAUAAUUAAAAAACAACAACCUCUGUUUCCUU
Molecule: long non-coding RNA, 4754 nt
Filed under: Podarcis lilfordi (Lilford's wall lizard)
Lineage: Eukaryota; Metazoa; Chordata; Lepidosauria; Squamata; Lacertidae
Source: RNAcentral